This 253-nucleotide ribosomal RNA is filed under the name uncultured bacterium. RNAcentral describes it as "partial 16S ribosomal RNA". It matches the Rfam family "Bacterial small subunit ribosomal RNA", at positions 524 to 776 of the family's 1533-position model. The record is from RNAcentral.
CACGUAGGUGGCAAGCGUUGUCCGGAUUUACUGGGCGUAAAGAGCGCGCAGGCGGUCGUUCAAGUCGCGUGUGAAAGCCCCCGGCUCAACUGGGGAGGGUCACGCGAUACUGAUCGACUCGAAGGCAGGAGAGGGUAGUGGAAUUCCCGGUGUAGUGGUGAAAUGCGUAGAUAUCGGGAGGAACACCAGUGGCGAAGGCGACUACCUGGCCUGUUCUUGACGCUGAGGCGCGAAAGCUAGGGGAGCAAACGGG